UUUUUUUUUUUAUUACAUAUAUUCGCGAAACAGAAACUGAUCCUGGGAACGACAUCAGUGAUCCAGGAAGGACUGCAGCUUGCUAGGGUAGCAGAGAAUGAGGUGACUCAGAUUUUGCCAGUCACCAAGAUCUUGUACUUGUCUUCAAAAUACUUUUAUCUGAAUUAACUCGAGGUUGAUUCAAUUGCAGAAAUUAUGCUUAAUCUGAACCAGAACUU
RNAcentral lists this unclassified non-coding RNA (218 nucleotides) under Hevea brasiliensis (rubber tree). Lineage: Eukaryota; Viridiplantae; Streptophyta; Magnoliopsida; Malpighiales; Euphorbiaceae. The record is from RNAcentral.